AAGCGUUUGGCAUCAGCCCAUGGCGUCAGUCCAUCAACCUGGCUUCUGCCUGGUGCACUGGUCUGGCGUCGGGCCAGCGUCGGCUUCGCCCGCCGGAGAAAGGCUCGGGGGAUGUGGCUCCCUUACGGGAGCGUUAUACCCCCAGGCGUCAUGCGGUGCGGUGAGGCCGAGGUCCGCGGUUCAUACCUAGGACGCUGGCGUAAUGGUUCCAAGCG
Molecule: ribosomal RNA, 215 nt
Filed under: Ascomycota sp.
Lineage: Eukaryota; Fungi; Ascomycota
Description: partial large subunit ribosomal RNA
Source: RNAcentral